Molecule: long non-coding RNA, 1428 nt
Organism: Brassica napus (rape)
Lineage: Eukaryota; Viridiplantae; Streptophyta; Magnoliopsida; Brassicales; Brassicaceae
Exons: 6
Source: RefSeq, a predicted model, not a curated record
UAAAAGCCCCGUUUUGGAUUAGGUGUACGCGUAAUGGUUUACGCUUCUCGCGUCUCCAGAUCGAAAGGUGACACCCCUUGCGCAGCUGACGUUCCGUCUCCUUCGUUGCAAGCACUCAAAAACCGAUCAAUCAAUCAUCUUUAAUCCCCCCCCCCAUUAAUCUAACACCCACAAUCUGGAUUCAAUGCGAUAUUGUUGAUGUGCAAGGCGUUCGAGUCGACUAUAAAAAAGCCGGUGGCUCCUCUUCCACCGUCGAAGUGUGCUUGCUCCGCUUCUGGGAGGCCAGAAACGUCCGCCGUGGUGGAGAAUUCAUGGGCGUCGACAUGCUCUUGCUUCACUCUCAGGCUGGAGGUGUUGGCAAGACAUACAUAUUCCAGCUCAGCGUGACCAGUUUCAUUACACUGCAGAGCGUCAGACCUUCACAGUCUUACGCAUCUUCAACGAGUCCCUGAUAUGUUAGUUUGUAACUCACUUGAUAUUCUGUCAAAAUAACAAUGUGUGUCUUGGUGUUAUCAGGGAGACAACGGUGGUCUUGGAGAUGAUAUAAACACUGGAAGCUCAACUUAAGUUGAAUCUAAAACUCUUCCGAGGCUGCUGCAACGGAUCUAGAUCAGCUGCAGUCAACGUGUUCAUCCUACGUUAUCAUAUCGUCUGGGUUCUUGAGCAUUCCUUACUGCAGAUUCAUCACCGUCAAAGCCGUUUUUACCAAUUUCGCAGCGAGGCGACUUUACCAGAAUGGAUUUGGCUUGGCGGAAGUUGUGUGUAUGAUGAGCAGUGCUGCAUAUCAAGCUAAGAAGAGAUGCAACAAUGUACAAUUAGCGGAAGAGACUGUAGCUCACCGCCAAGCCCAUGCUUUGGAGCGUGUAUGAAUUGGCAAUCAGAAUACUGCUGGGAUCUCUACUGAUGAUGAAGACUUAUGAGAUUGAAGCUUUUAGUCAGGACAGAAAGAGAUGGAGGAUACUUUAAUGCUGAUGGGAACUUUGUAGAAUAUGUUAGAGACAAGGAAGUCAAGGUGCAGAUCAAACAUUGGUUUAAUGUUUGAGGAAAAUGAGCAAGGUCAAACGUUGGUUUAACGUUCUAGGAACGUGAGCAAGAUCAAAUGCAAAAUUUGAAAAAGAGUCAGCAAUUGCAAGUAUGGUAAAGGGCACACAGCUUCAAGACGUCAUCAGUUAAUGUAUAUACAAAUAUACAAUAGUUAGAAGGUCAUUUGUAUUGUUAUCCAUUGGUCGCUUACAAUGACGUUGUGAGUCAAAAAUGCAUAGGACAUGCCAACAUUUGAAUAAAAAGGGACAUGCUGAGAGUAUUAGAAAGUUGAGUGCUUUAUAAAUAUGAUAUCUUUUAUCUCUUAGUUGAUUAUUUAUUGAUGUGAGUUAUAAAUUCAUGGUUGUCCUCGAUUGUUUAAUGUUACUCUAUAAGAUUUUUACUUAA